This 612-nucleotide ribosomal RNA is filed under the name Cicindela (Rivacindela) sp. JP-69a. RNAcentral's name for it is "partial 16S ribosomal RNA". It matches the Rfam family "Bacterial large subunit ribosomal RNA", at positions 1844 to 2739 of the family's 2925-position model. Lineage: Eukaryota; Metazoa; Arthropoda; Insecta; Coleoptera; Carabidae. The record is from RNAcentral.
UUUAAGGUCUAACCUGCCCAAUGAGGAUUUAAAUGGCCGCAGUAUUUUGACUGUGCAAAGGUAGCAUAAUUAUUAGUUUUUUAAUUGAAAGCUUGUAUGAAGGGUUGGACGAGAUAAAAUCUGUCUUUAUUUAAAUUAAAGUAUAAUUUAACUUUUAAGUCAAAAGGCUUAAAUGUUUAUAAAAGACGAGAAGACCCUAUAGAUCUUUAUUUAGUUAAGAUUUUAAUAAUUUAGGAUUAUUUUAAUUUGGAGUCUUAAUUGAAUUUUAUUGGGGUAAUAUAAAGAUUAAAUGAAUUCUUUUUAUUUAUGACAUUAAUUUAUGAAUAUAUGAUCCAUCAAUAUUGAUUAUAAGAUUAAGUUACCUUAGGGAUAACAGCGUAAUUUUUUUGGAGAGCUCAUAUCGAUAAGAAAGUUUGCGACCUCGAUGUUGGAUUAAAAAUUAGCUUGGGUGCAGAAGCUCAAGAUUUUGGUCUGUUCGACCAUUAAAUUUUUACAUGAUCUGAGUUCAGACCGGCGUAAGCCAGGUCGGUUUCUAUCUUUAUUCAAAUAAAAUAUUUUAGUACGAAAGGACCAAGUAUUUAAUAUAAUUAUAUUUAUUUUUUGAAGAAUAUU